GACGAACGCUGGCGGCGUGCUUAACACAUGCAAGUCGAGCGGUAAGGCCCUUUCGGGGGUACACGAGCGGCGAACGGGUGAGUAACACGUGGGUGACCUGCCCUCAGCUCUGGGAUAAGCCUGGGAAACUGGGUCUAAUACUGGAUAUGACUCCACGGUGCAUGUCGUGGGGUGGAAAGCCUUGUGCGGCUGAGGAUGGGCCCGCGGCCUAUCAGCUUGUUGGUGGGGUGAGGCCUACCAAGGCGACGACGGGUAGCCGGCCUGAGAGGGCGACCGGCCACACUGGGACUGAGACACGGCCCAGACUCCUACGGGAGGGCAGCAGUGGGGAAUCUUGCGCAAUGGGCGAAAGCCUGACGCAGCGACGCCGCGUGAGGGAUGACGGCCU
RNAcentral lists this ribosomal RNA (388 nucleotides) under uncultured bacterium. Its description in RNAcentral is "bacterial SSU rRNA". It matches the Rfam family "Bacterial small subunit ribosomal RNA", at positions 28 to 417 of the family's 1533-position model. The record is from RNAcentral.